UAAUCAGAGAGAAAACUGGAGCAGACUAAGGCCAGCCUCCCAGACAGGAGCCCAGAGGCCCCUCCUCCUUCCCCAGGGCCUGUUCAGUUCCAGGCCACCACACACUCCUCCCAGUACGAAAGGAGGUUGGCCAGGGAUGAGGCAAAGGAGGGGUGAAUGCCUGCCCUUGCUUCCUGCAGACGCCCCUGUCCCCUGCCCUCCAUCCACUCCCAGGGCCCAUCUGCCAGUGGACUGCCCUGCCAAGGGUGGGCUGGGUGCAUGCUGGGGGCUCUCCCCAGCUGAGGGCUUAGCUCUCCCAUUGGGAGGGGACCACUGGGAUUCUGGCCAUCCAUCCUUGGGGGCUGGUAGCAGAUGGCUCCGUGUGCAGGUGCUCAGGACACAGUGGGCAUACAGUGGGUGCCAGGAGCAGCAUACUGGUGCUUCUACUGUCACCGUUUCUUAAACUUCUCCAGCUGGACAGAACCCUUGAAGCCGGCCACACCCUCCAGUGAGAUGUGAAGACUCUAUGACCACUGACUUGGUGGGUCCAAGGGAGGCCCUGGAUUUGAACCCAAGCCCCCAUCCAAAGCAGCUGCUCUCUGUGGUCUCCAUCAGAGGGAACCAGGGCUGGCUCUGUCCUCCUGCCAGGAGGGAGGCAUGCUGCUGCUGUCACAUUGGGGACACUGGCCCAGGGCAGUGGCCAACGCCAGCCUUCCCGCCAUCUCCUGCACACCUGGCCUCUCUCUGCCCGAUGAGCCGGGAGGAGGUCCCUCAGGACAGGAGCCGGAGCCAGGAGGAAGCCUCCUGCACAGCCUGAGAAGGAUACAGCAGGAAUGGGGACAGGAAAGACGCCAGCCCUGUGGCCUGAUGGCACUGCACAGGGGACACUGAGUCAGCAUUCACUAACGUCGUCCUCCAGAGCCCCAGACACACGCACAGCCUCGCACAGUAGAAAGGGGGCCUUUUGGCUGUGAGACACGGCAGAUGUCCAAGUCAGAAGUGUGCCCACAGGCUCCAGCAGCUGCUGCUGAGGGUGGAAGGCCAGAACUCGGAGCCGGGGCUGAUCGAUAGGAACAAGAGAUUCUUCCCUGUGGCUGACGGCUGUCCACAGAGAUGUCACCUAACUUCUAAAUAAAGACCCAAG
This is a long non-coding RNA of Erinaceus europaeus (western European hedgehog), 1123 nucleotides long. RefSeq lists it as uncharacterized. The transcript has 3 exons. Lineage: Eukaryota; Metazoa; Chordata; Mammalia; Eulipotyphla; Erinaceidae. The record is from RefSeq and is a predicted model, not a curated record.